This 76-nucleotide transfer RNA is filed under the name Klebsiella pneumoniae. RNAcentral's name for it is "tRNA-Asn". It matches the Rfam family "tRNA". Rfam says of the family: Transfer RNA (tRNA) molecules are approximately 80 nucleotides in length. Their secondary structure includes four short double-helical elements and three loops (D, anti-codon, and T loops). Further hydrogen bonds mediate the characteristic L-shaped molecular structure. tRNAs have two regions of fundamental functional importance: the anti-codon, which is responsible for specific mRNA codon recognition, and the 3' end, to which the tRNAs corresponding amino acid is attached (by aminoacyl-tRNA synthetases). tRNAs cope with the degeneracy of the genetic code in two manners: having more than one tRNA (with a specific anti-codon) for a particular amino acid; and 'wobble' base-pairing, i.e. permitting non-standard base-pairing at the 3rd anti-codon position. Lineage: Bacteria; Pseudomonadati; Pseudomonadota; Gammaproteobacteria; Enterobacterales; Enterobacteriaceae. The record is from RNAcentral.
UCCUCUGUAGUUCAGUCGGUAGAACGGCGGACUGUUAAUCCGUAUGUCACUGGUUCGAGUCCAGGCAGCGGUGCCA